Molecule: RNA transcript, 9784 nt
Organism: Zea mays
Lineage: Eukaryota; Viridiplantae; Streptophyta; Magnoliopsida; Poales; Poaceae
Exons: 5
Source: RefSeq, a predicted model, not a curated record
CCUAGUAGACGCCUACCCGUGCGUGUCCCGCCUGUCCGGUGUCGCGUGCCGAGGCUGUGAGGCCGUCGCGUCUCGCGUCACUGGCUCCCCGCUCCUCGCAGCACCAAAAACGCGGCAGGCCGAGAAAUGUUCCCGACCGCGAGGACCAUGACACCGAGCAGGAGACGGAGGAAGGGGAGCGGGAGGCGGUGGCGGUUACCCGCGCCUGCACCUGGCUUCAAGCCUCCGAUCCGCCCAAGGCAUCAUAAAUGAUGAAUAUGGGGGCACAUUGUAUGAUGGAUUCCUUGGAGUGCUAAAUGCUACUCCGGGGUUGUCCCAAAUCAUUUAUAGCUUGGCAGGAGUAGCAACAGGCAUCUAUUCUUCACUGUCAGGGUAAAUUACCUUCGGCAGUCUCCACUUUAUAUACCACAUGCUUCUUCAAGCACAGUGAGCAUUUCCUAAUUCCUAUUAUACCGCUUAACAAUAAUCUCGAAGGAGAAGUGCAAUUUCUUUGUCUUCCUUCGUACCAGACAACCCUUCAUAUAGUUAUAUGUAAUUGAAUGUCGUCAAGUUUUGUAUAAGCUGGAAGUUUAUUUUUCUGUUUUCUCAUAGUUUGGGAAGAAAGAGAUGCCUGCUUGUCAAUGGUAGUGAAUCAUGCCCGAUUUAGGUCAAUUUAUGGUUGGAUUUAUCUCACCUACAAAUAUGCUUUCUAUCCUUACACUAUUAGUUAGCUUUGUUACUCUUGUGGCCCGAACCUGUCAGUUUAAGUAUUUCAAUAUUUUUGCCUAAGCCUAUAGUGUGAUGAUGAGAAGUACUACAACAAUAAGCUGGAGCUUGAAUGGUCCAGUGUGAAAGUAAGUUUUCAACUGAAAUCCUUGAAAUACAUUAGACUUGUGAUCUUUUUACAAGCUUAAUGUAAAACGCAUUAAGAAAACUGUAUAUGCUUAGCAGAAAGUGAUUGAUUGGUGUAGAAGUUCUUUUCAGUUGACGUUAAAGCUUAAUGGAGAUCACCGCUCAGGAUGCUAAAUGAAGUAGAAAAUAGUGCCCAGAAAUAAGUAGUAGGAAAAAAAACUAUUCUGUUUUAGGAUAAACUUCUGAGUGGUAGCAAUAUAUUUUAUUUUCGGAGUUUGGAUUUAUUCCAACACAGUGAGUAGUCUGGGUUAACUGUGGCUUCAGAGCUGUGUUUGCUAUCACUUUUCUGACUGUGAUAGUGUGAUAUGAUCUUUUUGAGUAAAAGUUUGAUUUUAUCAACUUUCUGAUUCCGACUUCCACCACGGUUGAUUAGUAGAUCAUACACAGACAUUUCGUGCUAUCUGUAAAAUCUGAUCUGGAACUUCUUUGCCUAUUGAAAUUUUGUAGUUCUUCUUCAUUGAAGAACCGAGAAAGUUAUAUCAUUGUAUAUAUGCAUUCACACUACUAUAUGAGUAUAUUUUUGUUGUGCCUUUUGCUACAACUUUGCUGUGGUUUUCGAUUUUCAUCUCUACCGCAACUUUGCUUGGGACUCAAAUGUUAUAUUGUGUUGCUAUGACGCCAGAUCUGUAAAUGUUACCUAUAAUAAUAAAUCUUACAUAUACCUAGAGGUGGUAAUGGAUCAUGAUCUAAAUGCUUCUUCACAAAAUGGUAAGGUUCUAAAUAAUUUUUAGUUUAAAAAUGAAUAGAAAUAGAGUUUGAUCCUAAUCUGAUCCGAUACUUAAAUCUUAUAGUGUAAAAUUUAGAGCCCAUUAUCACCCCUACAUAUACCAUGUACAACUCCAUUGUUUUUCUCGAAUGACACAUUCAUAGUUUUAGGUGUUUUGAUAGGCAAAUAGCCCUCAAAUAAAUAACCAGAAACUCGCACACACAAGACAAACACAGUGGGUUUGGUGACUGGACUGACUUAGCCUUUUCUGAUUCUCUCUCUCUCUCUCUCUCUCUUUCUCUAGGCAGCUGUGAGCUACAUUUUAAGAUUUGAUAGCCUUCUAAUUAAUGCAGAAUAUUACACGCUUAAUCAGCCUAUUACUGCUAAUCUGCUAUUCCUUCAUGCUAAAAUUAAGCUAAAGAUAAGUCUAUGAACCUAGACACUAGUGUGCACCUAGACACACAAUUACUCUCGACAUGUUUAACUAUGGUUGCAUGGAAUGGAUUGACUAAUAGUCAUUAGUCAAUGGUUUUAAUGGCUCAUGUAGUGAUUGUGGCUAAUUCAAUGGGUGUAAAUCAUAAUUGGUUUAUGAGGAGAGAUUUUUUUAAAAUUUUAGCGUAUAUAUGUAAUACUGAUAAAAUUAAUGAUCUAGCAGACCUACCAUGGGUGUUAGGACAAGUUUUUUAGAUUUUGACACUGGCAGCAAUCCUCCAUCUCUGACCAAAUUUAAUUAUUUCUUUUGCUCCAUAUAUAUACAUAAUGCUUUAGUUUUUUUUUAUCGUGAUUGGACUUUAUUAGUUGCAUGCUUAUUUCUCUGACAUCACCUCCAACAAGAAAUCAAUAGUGACAAUGUUGUCUUGAGGAUGCAAAACAUGUAAAGACCAAAACUGGCUGCCAAAAUGACAUCCAUUUCAAAUGGGGAGUAGUAAUUACUUAGCUAUUGUUUGUUUCCUAAGAUCUGCAUUUAAAUUGGUGAACAUAUUGUUUAUCUUAAUACUUGCCACACAUUGUUUUGAUCUUAUUUUCUCACAUAGUCACAUACAUAUAAACAGCCAUAACUCAUAAUAGCUCUAGAAUUCCUGCAAGACUGAUCUUCAGUGUUCAUGACAACUUUAUGGCUUAUGUUCUGAUGUAGUUCGUUACAAAUAGAAAGAAUCACACUUCAGAAUGCCACAAAUUUUCUGAUAGCCAUGAAUAUUGCGUGUCUGAUAUUGUUUUUGUACAUGAAGGGAGCAUGCUUCUUUAAGUACAUGGUAUGGUACUCCCUCCGUUCUAAAUUCAAAGUCACUUUGACUUUUUUGGUACAUAGAUUUUGCUAUGUUAUGUCUAGAUACAUAGCAAAAUUUAUGUACCAAAAAAAAGAGUCAAAGUGACUUAUAAUUUGGAACAAAGGGAGUAGCCUAGAACGACCUUGCUUUUCCUUUCCUGCUUCUCAUAUCACAAAUCAAAUGGAUCAUACAAAAUUUUGGCUGGCCAUUUAAUCGAGCUUUGGUUGCAAAGAUUAUUUCAUAUUUUGAAGACAUUGCUGCCGAUUUUCAGAAUUCAGUGGAAUGGAAGAUAUGACAUAUGCCAGAACCGAGAAAAUGUUUGGAAAGUGAGAAGGUGCUUUGUAUUGGGUGUUAAAGGACUACUAUGUCUGCUAUUAAACAUGUAGAAGAACACAUUUCAGCAUAAUCUAGUCUACAUAAGAAUGUUGACAGCAAGCUGAAAAAAGUUCCCAUGAAACUGGUAUCUGUCAAGAGGUAACUCAGAGCAUGUACCAUAAGCAUUUUCUUUGAUCUAUAGUUUGUUGGAUUCGUUCUAAUGAGGUCCUUCAUUAGGAUCUUGAGGUGAACUGACUGUACUGUACCCAUUAGCCGGCAAUUACCUAACGUUUGGUAAGCAUGUAGUCCCCACCAGAAAGUAAAUAGAAGUGGGUGUAGCCAAUACAACAUCUGGUACAUGUCCUAAAAUAUGAAAAAUUUCAGGUAAUUUUAAAGUGUGAUGGGCUGUUGCAUACUUGUAUGUAGUUUGAUUUGAUGAUAGCUUCCAAAAUUUUUUCAUAAGAUCUUUUCAUCGUCACUAAUACUGUCCAGUGUCUAAAGAACACAUAAUUUUUUCAUCAUAUAAAUAAAAAGAGGCAUUCACUGGCCUUUGCCUCAGCCCUGGACUCCUGGCAUUCACUUGUAGGUAGCAACCGUGUGACAAUUCUAUGUGUGAAGUAAUUGGAUGGACACUGAACUGUUCUUAUGCCAGUCAGGAUCACUGAGGCCCAGAAUAAAGGCUUCCUUUGUUCAUUCCAAUCCUUAACUGGCAGUCACUUGCACUAUUGAGAAUGAGAAUAGAUCGUCUCUGAGACUUGGAACUCUAUAUAGGAGUCAGAGGCAAGAGUCUAGUUACCCAUUUCGAUGUAUCAUCAUCACUGUAGUUGAGUAUUUACAUGGCGCGGCGUGACGAGGAAGGUUUGUUGAACCACACACAUUAUUAUUAUUUCUGACGACUUCCUCUUGAUUCUCCAGAAGCAAUGAAGCAUUGUUUAAGCUAUAAACCUGUGUUGUCAUUUCAGAUAUCUGUUCCGCCAACAUCAGCUUGGUCGUCUUUGAGCUCAUCAAUCAAGCACGCGUUGCAUUCAAGCAUCAUGUCAAUCCCCCCCCCCCCCCCCCCCCCCCCCCCCCCCCCCCCCGAAACAGCAUGAAGACGAUCUGAAGUCGCAUGCUAUUAUUCCUCAAGACAAGAAGAAUAUUUUGCUUUCGCAGCAGUUUGAGGUUCUGCCUCAAGUUGUGCAAGGCAUGCAUGCUGUCAGAGUUGUGUGUGUCUGGGCGAGAGCGGGACUAGCGAGAGCAGCUGCAACCUGCAAGGACUUGGCAGCAGGCCCAUUGCGACCAUACUAUCCAUAUUCAGUGAGCCAUAACUUGCCCUCCACCUCCACCAUCAAAGUGCCGAUGCCGAUGCCGAUGCCCACAGAGGCACAACAGCACUGUGGUUCACGAUAAAGCAUGCUCGCACCCUUCCUUUCCUCUCUUUGCCAGUUGCCACCCAGACGACACCCCCGCACCGCACCCCUUCCCUUUGCCAUAGCUCCUGCAUGUGAUGAUGUUGAUAGCGGAGAAGAUGACGGUGGCAUUGGCCGUUGCGGACUGGCGGGGGAGGUUGCUGUGGAGACGAGUGCCUGCAGCCCAAUGCCAUGCUUGGCCGGUUUGGCCCAUGCUCUUGCGCACUGGUCUGCAAUCUGCAUAGAGCCAUAUAUAUACAUGUCCAAAUGGGCGUGCCGGGCUAACCCGGCCCGGGCACGAUUAGGCCCGGCACGAAUAGUGCCCGGGCUGGCCCGGCACGCAGACAGUAACGAGCUGUGCCGUGCCCGCCACGGGCCGGACUUAGAGCCCAAGCACGGCACGGGGACCCUCUAAACGUGCCGUGCCGGGCUUCCAGCCCGGUGGGCUUAAACGUGCCGUGCCGCCCAUUAGCCCAGAUACCAGUAAAAAUCAAUUACACAAAUUCACAAUUACACACAUAAUCUGCCAGCAAUUACAAGAUCACAAAUUCACAAUUACACACAUAAUCUGCCAGCAAUUACAAGAUCACAAAUUCACAAUUACACAUUCACAAUUCACAAGGCAAGAUAAAAAUUCAAGGAAAGACAACAACUUAUCAGCAAUGUACCAAUGGUUAUCAGUUAACAAAGGAGAACCAUCUUAUAUGGAACAAUAUGCUUAAGCAUCAAGUAAGUAGAAUUCCAUCUAACAUCCAUGUCAACACCAAAUUUACGAGGGCGAAAACCCUGACUCAAACAAACCAUUUUGUAUGCAGCAAUACGUUGAUUAGAAGCAUUUAAGAAAGUAAUGGCAGUUCUAAAAUCAUUAAGAUAAGGCUUCAAGCGCUUCAAACCAGAUUUAACAAUAAGAUUAAUAAUGUGGCAAGCACAUCUUUGAUGCAAAAAUAUAGAGCUCAAACCAUCACCAUCAUCUAAGUCAAGUAUAUCAUUGCAGGCAAAGUCAAGGUAACCAGUAAACAUAGGUUGAAGAAGAGACAUAGCAGUUUUGUUUGAAGAAGCAUUGUCCAAGGUAAUUGCAAAAAUUUUAUUUACUAUUCCAUAAUCAUCUACUACCAUAGAAAUAUGCUCAGCAAUAUUAGAACCAGUAUGUGCAGACUCAAUAGGCCUAAGACCCAGUAGUCGUUUUUCCAAACCCCAAUUAGAAUUCACAUAAUGGGCAACAACGCUAAUAUAAUCUUCUUUGGCUUUACCAGACCAAAUAUCAGAAGUUAGUGCCACAGAUGAAACUGAAGACUUCAAAGUUUCAAUUAGUCCCUCCAUUCGACCAUUGUAAUGUUUAAUUAAAUCUCUAGCAAUUGUUUGCCUAGACGACUUAACAAAUCUGGGGUUAUGCGCACGGGUAAUAUACUCAUGGAAAGCAUCAGACUCAGCAAAACAUAAAGGCAGAUCCUCUCUAGCUAUCAAUCGACACAUUUCAGUUCGUGCAACCAAUGUAGAAUACUCCCAACGUUGGACAGACCCAUCAGGAUUAAAUUUAAGGACUGACUGAACUAUGCCUGCUCGGUCAUGUUCAAUUUUAGCUUUACAAUGUUCUUGGUGCCUAAGUAAGUGUCUUUCUUCAGAUGAAGAUUUAGCAGACAAGGUACAUUUGCAGUGUUUGCAAAUAGCAGAGAUCCUUACCUUCUUACCUUUGUCGUCGAGCCCAGUUACUUCCUCGAAGUCAGCCCAAACCCUAGAUGUCGCUAGCCUCUUCCUCGGCCGGUUGUCAUUGGCAGUGCUACCACCAGUGGCAGUGGGGCUCGAGGAGGCAGUCACAGGCGCCGCAUCAACAUCUACGGGAUCAACAUUGCUGCCAGUGGCAGUGCCAAUCCCAAACAAGGCCAACUCAUCCAAACGCUCGUUGUGAUCCUCAAGCUCACGCUCUGCCGCCUCGGCGUCCUGAUCAAGAUCCAUGGAGAUGGAGGGAUACUUGACCGUCUCCUCAACGACGUCACCGGUUCCUCAACGACCUUCAAAUCGUAUAAAUAAAAUACAAAAUAUCAAAAUCAAGAGCACAAAGGUAGUAGAUCUAGGAAAAUAGAACUUCACCUGAGUGGCCGGAGCACCGGAGUCGUCGACGAGGGGCAACCAGAGGGGCAGAGCUGAUGUUGCUUGAGGUCAAGGAGGAUUGGACGAGUGUAGGCAGAGCAGAUUAGAACAAAGAAACGAGACGGAGAGCCGGAGAGGCACGCACAGUCGCACAGAAUCAGGGAGGCACAAACCCUAAACCCUAAGCGAAGAAGCGAGACGGAGAAGGCGAGAGGAAACAAGAGAUCUAAGAACAAAUCAGAAGAGCAAGAGCACCGAAAAGUCACCGACGACCACCACUCACCAGUUUAGGUUUAGGGUUAGGAGAAGCCGAGAAGUAGUCGAACUUACAGACAGGGGGCAGGGGCUAUGUCGGCUCACCGGAGCAAGAGGAACACGACAGUCGACGGCCGACGAGCGCAAAGCACGGAUCCACGGAGCCACUCCACGAAGGAGAUCCAGAGAGGGCGAGUCCGCGAGUGUGACGGAGACGGAGAGGGCGAGGGCGAGAGAGGAGACGAAAAUGUGGAAGACUGGAAUGUGUGCGCGUGCGGCGGACGGGGAGUCGGGGAGGGAUAUUUUGAUGUGAGCCGGGCUUGGAACGGGCCGUAAGCUUAAACGGGCCGUGCUCGGGCUCCGCCCGACGUGCCCCGACUCAGGCCCAAGCACGGCCCGGGUGUCGUGCCGGGCCGGCCCGAGCCCGUCGCCUUCCGUGCCGUGCCGGGUACGGGUCGGGCCUAACCCGUGCCGUGCUUCGGGCUACCCGUAAGGCCCGACCCGUUUGGACAUGUAUAGCCAUAUACAUUGCAUUUCCUUGGGAGAGUUUUUUUUUUAUGAUGGGGGCAUGGGGCAGGUGUGGGUCCCCCCUCUUUGCUGAGAGAGAGAAAAACUUCACUCAAAGAAAGACAACUCGACACGUCGUGACUCACUGGCUGUUGGCUACUUGGCUCAAUCCAACUAGAGUACAACAGUACUAUCUCCGUUCUAAAAUUAAAGAACGAACACAAUUCUAGGUCUGACCAAAGUCAACACAUUUUUUUUUAAGUCUGACGAAUUCUAUAGGAAUUACUUCCUCGGCCCUACCUAUACUAGAUGACGUUUUAGAUUUAGGCGUGUGAAAAAUUAACGAGGAGCGAAAAAAUGAUGUGCUCACUCUAGGUUUAAAUUAUAUGUGGUUCUACGAAUAACCAUUUUGUUGUCUAGUUAGUUUUGAAACCUAAGCAGUCAUACGCACCGAUUUUGUCUUAAAUGGUACUUCUACAAGAGUAUAAAUUUAUUAAGAGUUCAUUUGUAUUUUUAACGAAAAAGCAUUCAUUUGUAUUUUAACAAAAAAAACAUGGGUCAAAGCUAUACUUUAGAGACCUGUCGUUGGCCUAAACGGAUUAUAAGUUAGACUUGGAGUAAGUAAACUUUAAAUCAUUUGAGUUAGGGGAUGUUUAAAUGCACUGAAACUAAUAGUUAGUUGCUAAAAUUAGUUGAGACAUCCAAAUAGUCUUGCUAAUAGUUUGUUUAUUAGCUAAUUUUAGCAAAUUAGAUAAUAGUUAGCUGGCUAAUUAAUUUGUAACCAAUUAAAUAUUAGCUCUAGUGCAUUCAAACGCUUCCUUAAUGUCAUCUAUAGUUGAUUUUUUUGGGAGGGUGCGAGAAGAAUCUGAUGCCUGAAAUGAAGUUUGUGUUGUUCAAACCAGGGGCAGACCCAGGCCCAUGGCCGCCUGGGCCACGGCCCGGGGCGCAGGCCCAUUUAUUUUUUUAGAAGAUACUCAUACUGGGCCAGAACGCCGACUCGCCGAGCGCCGCGUCCGCGUCCCGUACUCCCGCAGUCCCGCGCCCCAGACCGCAGUCCGCCGCCACCGCGCGCUCAGACCCCAGUCCGCCGCCGCCGCGCGCCCAGACCCCAACCCGUCGCCGCGCCACCCAGACCCCAACCCGCCGCCGCGCCACCCAGACGCCAGUCCAGCCCGUCCGCCGAGCGCUCGCCCAGCGCGACAGCGCCCCAGCCCCCAGCCUAGACCGUCGAGCGUUGAGCCGGCGCCGCCCAAUCCGCCGCGCGCGCCUGGCGACUGGGCGCCUCUCCGCCGCGCCCCAGCCCAGUCCGGCAGUCCCUGCAGCCUGCUCGCUCGGCUUCGCUAGUUCGCUUUCUCGGCUUCAGAGUUCAGACCCUGCAGAGUGCAGACUAGUAGCCCUCAGAGUGUAAGGCAGUAACAAUCAAAAUGAAGAAGAGACAUAGAAUAUUGCAAUCAUUUUUUUCUCCAGCUCUCACACCCGUUGUGCCUAAUGUGCAGCCAAGAUCAAACAUCAAUUCUCAACCAACAAAUUGAUGAAAUUAGACAACAUGGAUGGGAAGAUCUCUUUGAGGAUACUAAAUCAUUUUGUAUUCAAUAUAAUAUCAUUGUGCCAAACAUGUUGGAUACAACCACUGCUAGAGGUCGCUCAAGAGGUCGUGGAGUGGCAACAGCAUCUGUGGAGAGAGCUUUCUUAUCUAUGAAUAUCAUUAAAACUGAGUUGCGGAAUAAGACAGGAGACAAAUGGCUUAACCAUCGUAUGGUGUGUUAUAUUGAGAGGGAUAUAUUUACAAGCAUUGAUGAUGCAAAGAUAUUGGAUUAUUUUCAAGGCAUGAGAACCCGCAGGGUGAAUCUACCUCGUACUAGUGGUUCUGGAGCAAGAAGCACUGAUGUUGAUGUUGAUAUGAUACAUUUGGAAGGAGCUACAUCAUAACUUGUAUGUCAUCUUUUAACAUAUAUGACAACGUUGUUUCGCCGUACAAUUUUUUAUAUAUUACUAUUAAAGUUUAUGGUCGCUUCGGCCCGGGUCUUGGCUAAUUUCUGGGUCCGUCACUGGUUCAAACACUCCCUUAAUAUGAAUUUAGUGCAUUCAAACACUAUAGAAGUAGUAAGCAAACCAACUAACCAAGCGAAGUUUGUGUUGGCAGACGGUCAACGGGUACAUACAUAAACCGAUGGCGGGUGCUGCAUGCAUAUCAGUUAUUAGUCCAGUAGUCUGUCAGCCGCGCUGUUCCAUGGUUCAAGUUUAGCCACCCACCCAACAACGCGUCUGAUCUCUCUCUCUCUCUCUCUCUCUCUCUUGGAUUGAAAUUGGAGAAAAAAAUAGUAAUAAAGAAAAGCAGGGAAGAAAGGGACACCUCAGUUUGUACA